RNAcentral lists this ribosomal RNA (429 nucleotides) under Pseudomonadota bacterium. RNAcentral describes it as "Proteobacteria bacterium partial 16S ribosomal RNA". It matches the Rfam family "Bacterial small subunit ribosomal RNA", at positions 355 to 776 of the family's 1533-position model. The record is from RNAcentral. Lineage: Bacteria; Pseudomonadati; Pseudomonadota.
UGGGGAAUAUUGGACAAUGGGCGAAAGCCUGAUCCAGCCAUGCCGCGUGUGUGAAGAAGGUCUUCGGAUUGUAAAGCACUUUAAGUUGGGAGGAAGGGCAGUAAGCGAAUACCUUGCUGUUUUGACGUUACCGACAGAAUAAGCACCGGCUAACUCUGUGCCAGCAGCCGCGGUAAUACAGAGGGUGCAAGCGUUAAUCGGAAUUACUGGGCGUAAAGCGCGCGUAGGUGGUUCGUUAAGUUGAAUGUGAAAGCCCCGGGCUCAACCUGGGAACUGCAUCCAAAACUGGCGGGCUAGAGUAGGGGAGAGGGGGGUGGAAUUUCCUGCGUAGCGGUGAAAUGCGUAGAUAUAGGAAGGAACACCAGUGGCGAAGGCGACCACCUGGGCUCAUACUGACACUGAGGUGCGAAAGCGUGGGGAGCAAACAGG